Macadamia integrifolia is the source of this 505-nucleotide long non-coding RNA. RefSeq lists it as uncharacterized. NCBI's taxonomy places the organism in Eukaryota, Viridiplantae, Streptophyta, Magnoliopsida, Proteales, Proteaceae. The record is from RefSeq and is a predicted model, not a curated record. The transcript is spliced from 2 exons.
CACAACAACACUUGAGGCCAACUAAACACACAACCUUCUCAUUUCUUGUCUCUUCUUUGUAGAAGACUAGAGGAGGAGUAGUGAGAAAAUGGCAUCAAUGAAGUCUGAGAAACCUGUAGCUGCUAAACUUCUUGGGCAGGCCACGAAAGAGCCUGCCAAAGCUGGUGAGCAUAGUGCUGAACCCAAACCUUCCGGCACCAAUCAGGCCCCCAAGAAGGCUGAGCAGAAGCCCCGGGAGCCAAAGAAGAAGGCCGCCAAAGGUGGCAAACCAGGAGCAAAGAACUAAAGAGGAACGAUACCAGAUCAUGCCACCAUAGAGGAUUCUACGAAGCCGUUGAUUGAAGGCCAUCCGUCCAUUUUACUUCUAUUGCUGAUAUAGUGUGGCUGUUUAAUCCUCAUGGUUUAAUAUAUAGAUCUUGUGUGUUUUUCUUUUCUUUAGACUUCCCCUAGCAUGUAUGAGUCAUAUUAAGCUUUUAAUGAAAUAAAAUAUUAUAUUUAUGAAAAA